AUGACUCCCGACCAGGCUGCUGCUAUCGCCUCCCUACCCUACCUCGCCGCCGCCGCCGGCACCUCCACCUCCGCCUCGCUCCGGCGCCCCCGCCCCUGCUGCUCCUUCCCUCUCCGCCGGCCUCCGCCCAUAUACCUCACCUGCGCCGCCUUCCCCUACACCCCUCCUCCGUGCGCCGGCGAUGGACAACACAUGCUCCGUGGCCCUCCGCAGCCACGAUGCUCCAACGUGGAAGCAGUCGGCGACGUGGCCGCAGCAGCAGUGCCCGACGAUUACACCGAGGACACGCCGUCGAGCAGUGGGUAUGCGAACGGCCAUAUGGCCACCGCUUCAUCGCACGAACAAGAUCAUCCUUCUGAAGGAAGCGCGGGCAAGGCGGACGACAGGGCUACUACUGCCAACGUCAACCUAAAAAUGGUCAAGAUAUCUGACAAGCUGAUUGGUGUCUUCAUGGUCGACAAGCCUACGCCGACGGAUUGGAGGAAAUUGCUCGCGUUCAGCAGGGAGUGGGACAACAUAAGGCCGCACUUCUUCAAGCGCUGCCAAGAGAGAGCGGACGCGGAAACAAAUCCUGAGAUGAAGCACGGCCUUCUCAGGCUGGCUAGAAAACUGAAAGAGGUAGACGAGGACGUACAAAGGCAUAAUGAACUAUUUGAGUUAGUGAAAUCCACACCGUCUGAUAAAAUUGGUGAGGUUGUUGCUAAGCGCCGUAAAGAUUUCACGGUGGAGUUCUUCAACCACCUGUAUUAUGUCGCAGAGUCGUAUAAGGAUGACCCUGCUAAGCAAAAAGAUCAUUGUUUCCCUGGUUCAUCAUUUUUCUCGUUCAUCGGUUUGCUUGCAGAGUUGACGACACUUGGAAAUGAUUGUGUGGAUGCUCUGCAAGCUCAUGAUGACAUGUCUGGCAGUCUUCAAGCGCUGAAUGUUGCGGAACUAAAGCUAAAGGACAUACUCAAUUCACCUUCAGUGGGCGCUGCGUGCCGAAAGAUCGAUGACUUGGCCGAGAAGAAGGAGCUAGACUCCGCGUUGGUGCUGAUGCUUUCAAAAGCUUGGUCGGCUGCAAAGGGCACCGACAUCACAAAAUCGGACGCAAAAGACAUAAUGUUCCAUCUAUACAUGACUGCUGUGGCCAAUCUCCAGAGGCAAAUGCCAAAGGACAUCAGAAUACUGAAGCAUCUUAUAAUGAUUGAGGAUCCAGCAGAACGCCUGAGUGCGUUGAAUGACGCUUUUACUCCUGGUCCUGAACUUCAAGGCGAGAAUGUCGAUACCUUAUUCACGAGUCCGGAGGUGUUGCACACUUGGGCAAGCGCUAUAAUCGAUGCAUAUUAUAGCAGCAGGGAGGGCACUCUCCUUGGGCAGGCAAGGGACCUGAUGAACCCUAAAAUUAUAAAGAGGGUUGAAGAGCUCUUGAAGACGAUCAAGGAUCAAUACCUCUGA
RNAcentral lists this ribosomal RNA (1434 nucleotides) under Triticum aestivum (bread wheat). RNAcentral describes it as "partial small subunit ribosomal RNA". The record is from RNAcentral. Lineage: Eukaryota; Viridiplantae; Streptophyta; Magnoliopsida; Poales; Poaceae.